This 424-nucleotide ribosomal RNA is filed under the name uncultured prokaryote. RNAcentral's name for it is "bacterial SSU rRNA". It matches the Rfam family "Bacterial small subunit ribosomal RNA", at positions 355 to 796 of the family's 1533-position model. The record is from RNAcentral.
UGGGGAAUUUUCCGCAAUGGGCGCAAGCCUGACGGAGCAAGACCGCGUGGGGGAUGACUGCCUAAUGGUUGUAAACCCCUUUUCUCUGGGAAGAUGAUGACGGUACCAGAGGAAUCAGCCUCGGCUAACUCCGUGCCAGCAGCCGCGGUAAUACGGAGGAGGCAAGCGUUAUCCGGAAUUACUGGGCGUAAAGCGUCUGUAGGUGGCUUGGUUAGUCUAUUGUUAAAUAUUAGGGCUUAACCCUGAGACAGCAUUAGAAACUUCUAAGCUAGAGUAUGGUAUGGGCAAAGGGAAUUCCCAGUGUAGCGGUGAAAUGCGUAGAUAUUGGGAAGAACACCAGUAGCGAAAGCGCUUUGCUUGGCCUCAGCUGACACUGAGAGACGAAAGCUAAGGUAGCGAAUGGGAUUAGAUACCCCGGUAGUCC